RNAcentral lists this small RNA (143 nucleotides) under Carlito syrichta (Philippine tarsier). Its description in RNAcentral is "Y RNA (ENSTSYG00000025140.2)". The record is from RNAcentral. Lineage: Eukaryota; Metazoa; Chordata; Mammalia; Primates; Tarsiidae.
GGUUGGUUCUAAGGUAGUGGGUUAUCAUUAUUCUUUUUUUUUCCUUGAGCCAGAAUAACACACUGAAGGUGAUCAGAACUUAUGAACAUUAAUGUCACUAAGGCUGGUAUACAACUCCCACUGCUAAAUUUGACUGCUCUAUA